This 1557-nucleotide long non-coding RNA is filed under the name Citrus sinensis (sweet orange). RNAcentral describes it as "long non-coding RNA (CSIN_LNC000244)". Lineage: Eukaryota; Viridiplantae; Streptophyta; Magnoliopsida; Sapindales; Rutaceae. The record is from RNAcentral.
UUGUCCUAUAUUUCGUAUGAUAUCAUAUUAAAUUAUGUUAAAUUAAAUAAAAAUAAAGUUAAAUAAUAUUUAAUAAGAACAAUUAAAUUUAUUUUAAAUUAUAUGUUUUAUGUAUGAUGUAUAUUAUUUCCCAGCGAGAUUGCACCGAUCUCGUCCGUCUGGUUCGGGGUCGUUGUUCAGCAACCUCAACCUCAUUCAGCAUAUCUUUUUUUUUUGCAAUCAAAUUCUCCUUUUCAGUCCGCAAGUCAUCAAGACAAGAUUAUCUUUAUAAGACCCCGUAUAUACUUAGCUUCUCCACCAUCGUAAGAUAAAAUUGGACGAAUUGUGGCCGCUGAUAAGAAGGUUGAGAUGAUGCCGCCCAUUUUUGUUGAAAGAUUUCAAAGGAAUGAAAGAAGACAGAGAAACUAACAGUGGAGUAUAAUGAAAAACUUGCAUUAUCUCCUCAAGUUAUAGGCGAGAGAUAACAUUUGUGGUUAUUAUUAUCUGACCACCUAAAAUUAUCUUUUUGUAUAAAUAACUGCAUUUCUUUUUGACAUUCCUUUCCUACGUAGGUGGAGUUUGAAUCUCAAAUCUCUUGUCCUGCCUUGAGAGAUUGUAUUGACAUCAUAAAUGCUUUUGAUGUAUUUCAUACUUAAAAAAUACUUGUAUAACACAUGUUUUAUUGUUUGUUUCUGCAGGAUACCAUGUAGAAGUGGAAAAUGUACAACGCCCGUAGAGGUGACACCCUUCCAGUUGAUUAUAAGUGAAGUCUUCCCAGGAAUUUGUAGCCAAGGUUUUUCUAUACCCUGGAGCCUUUGCAAGUGCUAUAAUGAAAGGCAAAAACAUUCCUAGAUAUUUGUGCUUUGUGCUUUCUUGUCUAUUAGAAAAGAUCUAAGGAAAAUUAUUCUUUGUUAAAAAGCCCAGCAGAUAAAAAAGUAUGUUUGAUUAAAAGUAAAAGAUGCAUGAGUUGAGGCCAACGAAGAAAUGUGAUUUCUGCCAGAAAUUCAGUUGGGGUACACAGAAGGAAUGAUGUAGUAGUAUAAGCUGAGAUUUAAGAAUGGUUUCGAAUUUUAAUGGGGGUUAGCCAGUAGAAUAUUUGGGUUUCUGUAUGUUGUAACAAUUUUUUUUCCUUUCUUUUCCUGUAAACCCUUUUCUGUAGGAUCUUGUUACCUCUGCUAAUUAAAUGACACAUUGUGAUUUUAUCCUGUUUCACAUAUAUGCAAGUGCAAACCGGUGGUCACAUAGGGGCAAUUAUUGGAGAUGAAUUAUUGGACGCAUACGUUGCUGGUAUGUGUGUAGACUGCGAAUUUUUUAAUUUUUUUUCUUGCGCUUUGUCUGGUUCCUUUUUUUUUUUUUUUUUUUUUUUUUUAAUAAGUGGUUUGGUUGGCUUUUAGAAGAGCUCAGGAGGCAAGAAAUUGAAAUGAAAGAAAGGAAAAGAAAUAAUAAAAAUAUUUCUUUCCUUUUUCGUUAAACUUUAUUUGGAUAAUUAUUUGUACUAAAUUCUUGUGUUUUGAAGGUGGGUUGGUUCUUUAGUGUAAGAUGAUCACUAUGGUUUGCUUAAUAAAUUAUCAUUGGGAG